This 237-nucleotide long non-coding RNA is filed under the name Gossypium raimondii (Peruvian cotton). RNAcentral describes it as "long non-coding RNA (GRAI_LNC003655)". Lineage: Eukaryota; Viridiplantae; Streptophyta; Magnoliopsida; Malvales; Malvaceae. The record is from RNAcentral.
UUUUGGGUUAUUUAUGCCCCUGGUCCUUCUGUAUUUUUGGAUUGUUUUAAUUCGGUCCUAUUUUUAUUUUUUUAUUUUUCUUAAAUUUGACCGCUUCCUUUUUUGCGCGUUUCAAUUUAAUCCUCGGCUCAAGAAAGGAAGCGUGUCCAGGGGAUUGGUUUAUUUACCUAUUUGGCCCUCUACCCUUUCGCGCCAUUUUAUUUUGGUCCUUCUUUGUUUAUUUUAUUAUAGUUUUUA